This 497-nucleotide ribosomal RNA is filed under the name uncultured bacterium. RNAcentral's name for it is "partial 16S ribosomal RNA". It matches the Rfam family "Bacterial small subunit ribosomal RNA", at positions 28 to 507 of the family's 1533-position model. The record is from RNAcentral.
GAUGAACGCUGGCGGCGUGCCUAAUACAUGCAAGUCGAGCGAACGGACGAGAAGCUUGCUUUUCUGAUGUUAGCGGCGGACGGGUGAGUAACACGUGGAUAACCUACCUAUAAGACUGGGAUCACUUCGGGAAACCGGAGCUAAUACCGGAUAAUAUUUUGAACCGCAUGGUUCAAAAGUGAAAGACGGUCUUGGUGUCAGUUAUAGAUGCAUCCGCGCUGCAUUAGCUAGUUGGUAAGGUUACGGCUUACCAAGGCAACGAUGCAUAGCCGACCUGACAGGGUGAUCGCCCACACUGGAACUGAGCCACGGUCCUGGCUCCUACGGGAGGCAGCAGUCGGGAAUCGUCCGCAGUGGGCGAAAGCCUGACGGAGCAACGCCGCGUGAGUGAUGAAGGUCUUCGGAUCGUAAAGCUCUGUUAUUAGUGAAGAACAUAUGUGUAAGUAACUGUGCACAUCUUGACGGUACCUAAUCAGAAAGCCCCGGCUAACUACGUG